UACGUAGGGGGCAAGCGUUGUCCGGAUUUAUUGGGCGUAAAGAGCGUGUAGGCGGUUAUACAGGUCCGCUGUGAAAACUGGAGGCUUAACCUCUAGACGUCGGUGGAAACAGUAUAACUAGAGUCCGGAAGAGGAGAGUGGAAUUCCUGGUGUAGCGGUGAAAUGCGCAGAUAUCGUCAAGAACACCAAUAGUGAAGACAGCUUACUGGGCUUAAACUGACGCUGAGGCACGAAAGUGUGGGGAUCAAACAGG
Molecule: ribosomal RNA, 253 nt
Filed under: uncultured bacterium
Lineage: Bacteria
Description: partial 16S ribosomal RNA
Rfam family: Bacterial small subunit ribosomal RNA
Source: RNAcentral